GUCAAGUCAUCACGGCCUUUAUGCCUAGGGCUGCACACGUGCUACAAUGGGUCGGACAAAGGGACGCCAACGCGCAAGCGGGAGCAAAUCUCAAAAACCGCCCCCCAGUUCAGAUUGCAGGCUGCAAUUCGCCUGCAUGAAGCCGGAAUCGCUAGUAAUCGCAGAUCAGCUAUGCUGCGGUGAAUGUGUUCCUGAGCCUU
Molecule: ribosomal RNA, 200 nt
Filed under: uncultured prokaryote
Description: partial 16S ribosomal RNA
Rfam family: Bacterial small subunit ribosomal RNA
Source: RNAcentral